This 312-nucleotide long non-coding RNA is filed under the name Carica papaya (papaya). Its description in RNAcentral is "long non-coding RNA (CPAP_LNC010882)". The record is from RNAcentral. Lineage: Eukaryota; Viridiplantae; Streptophyta; Magnoliopsida; Brassicales; Caricaceae.
GAACGGACGGCCCAACACGGGAUGGAUAUUUAAACAUCGCAUUUCAGGGAACUUUAACCUUAGCCGCACUUACCCUCACUGGAGAAAAAGAACCAAACGCUGGAGAAGGCGAUUGACCCCUAACUGUCGCCACACCAGAGCCACUGCCGACCGCUAAAAAAGUUAAAAUUUUCCCUUUUCCACUCGAAAUUCGAUUCCAAGUCUCCUUGUGGCUAUAUCAGAGCAAAAGGGACGAUGGAUGAGUCAGAAACUGUAGGCAAAUCUCGGUAGAGCCGUUGCGGUAAAAGUCAUAAAACCCCUCUGAUGAGCCCC